RNAcentral lists this ribosomal RNA (506 nucleotides) under uncultured bacterium. RNAcentral describes it as "partial 16S ribosomal RNA". It matches the Rfam family "Bacterial small subunit ribosomal RNA", at positions 29 to 523 of the family's 1533-position model. The record is from RNAcentral.
AGUGAACGCUGGCGGUAGGCCUAACACAUGCAAGUCGAACGGCAGCACAGGAGAGCUUGCUCUCUGGGUGGCGAGUGGCGGACGGGUGAGGAAUACAUCGGAAUCUACUCUGUCGUGGGGGAUAACGUAGGGAAACUUACGCUAAUACCGCAUACGACCUACGGGUGAAAGCAGGGGACCUUCGGGCCUUGCGCGAUUGAAUGAGCCGAUGUCGGAUUAGCUAGUUGGCGGGGUAAAGGCCCACCAAGGCGACGACCCGUAGCUGGUCUGAGAGGAUGAGCAGCCACACUGGAACUGAGACACGGUCCAGACUCCUACGGGAGGCAGCAGUGGGGAAUAUUGGACAAUGGGCGCAAGCCUGAUCCAGCCAUACCGCGUGGGUGAAGAAGGCCUUCGGGUUGUAACGCCCUUUUGUUGGGAAAGAAAUCCAGCUGGCUAAUACCCGGUUGGGAUGACGGUACCCAAAGAAUAAGCACCGGCUAACUUCGUGCCAGCCGCCGCAGUAA